CCUACGGGGGUCUGCAGUGAGGAAUAUUGGUCAAUGGGCUAGAGCCUGAACCAGCCAAGUCGCGUGAGGGAAGACGGUCCUAUUGAUUGUAAACCUCUUUUGUCGGGGAGCAAAGUCGUCCACGUGUUGACUGAUUGGUGUACCCGAAGAAAAAGCCACGGCUAACUCCGUUCUAGUAGCCUCGGGAAUACGGAGGAUGCGGGCGUUAUCCGGAUUUAUUGGGUUUAAAGGGGGUGUCAGCGGACAGGCAAGUCAGCGGUAAAAAUGCGGGGCUCAACCCCGUACCGGCGUUGAAAAUGGCGUUAUGGAGUGGGCGAGAAGUAUGCGGAAUGCGUGGUGUAGCGGUGAAAUGCAUAGAUAUCACGCAGAACUCCGAUUGCGAAGGCAGCAUACCGGCGCCCUACUGACGCUGAGGCACGAAAGCGUGGGUAUCGAACAGGAUUAGAUACCCGGGUAGUC
This 459-nucleotide ribosomal RNA is filed under the name uncultured bacterium. RNAcentral's name for it is "partial 16S ribosomal RNA". It matches the Rfam family "Bacterial small subunit ribosomal RNA", at positions 338 to 795 of the family's 1533-position model. The record is from RNAcentral.